UACGUAGGUGGCAAGCGUUGUCCGGAAUGACUGGGCGUAAAGGGAGCGUAGGCGGCGCAGUAAGUUAGGAGUGAAAUCCCGGGGCUCAACCCCGGAACUGCUUUUAAAACUGCUGUGCUUGAGUGAUGGAGAGGAAAGCGGAAUUCGUGGUGUAGCGGUGAAAUGCUUAGAUAUCACGAAGAACUCCGAUUGCGAAGGCAGCUCACUAGACUGCAACUGACACUGAUGCUCGAAAGCGUGGGUAUCGAACAGG
This 253-nucleotide ribosomal RNA is filed under the name uncultured Eubacteriales bacterium. RNAcentral describes it as "uncultured Clostridiales bacterium partial 16S ribosomal RNA". It matches the Rfam family "Bacterial small subunit ribosomal RNA", at positions 524 to 776 of the family's 1533-position model. The record is from RNAcentral. Lineage: Bacteria; Bacillati; Bacillota; Clostridia; Eubacteriales.